Molecule: long non-coding RNA, 580 nt
Organism: Sinocyclocheilus rhinocerous
Lineage: Eukaryota; Metazoa; Chordata; Actinopteri; Cypriniformes; Cyprinidae
Exons: 2
Source: RefSeq, a predicted model, not a curated record
CACCUGAUGAGUAUCUUGCCAUAAAGAUGACGUUAUGAACAGACGAAUGAAGUAAAAACAAAAGGUCUGCUGCAGCUGUGCUGGAAUCCUCCGUUGUGUCAACUCCUGCCAGGACUCUGGAGACCACCGCUCUGAUCUGCUCCUGUUCGGAGCCACUGAACCCCUAGAUUUAGCUUCCAUGCUUCCAGCAAAUUAGCUCUCUAGAGAGGGUCUUGACUAAUUGCUCUUGAACUUUUUACCCUCAAUCUGACACACAUUAACACCAGAGCUAUGUUUAAUUUAGAAUUUAAUUGAGAUUGCCUUUUAAAUUCAUAUGAAAUGGAGGAAUUUGCAAUGUGAAUUUAAGGCAGCAGAAUUACAGUACAAAGAAAUGUCAUAUAAUGAUAAGAGGACAAACCAAGGAUAAACUAAAUUAUACUUACCAACACACAACAUGUCUGAACCAGAUACAGUGUAAUUUGUUCCGUCUACAUUUACUUGAUGUGAAACUGUUGCGUAUGCGAUGUCGAGUAAUGAGAUUUCACAGUGGGCGGGGCUCCUCAGAGUGGCAAAGUGUUACCAUUGUUAAAGAAAACUAAAU